ACGAACGCUGGCGGCGUGGAUAAGACAUGCAAGUCGAACGGGAGAAUUGCUAGCUUGCUAAUAAUUCUCUAGUGGCGCACGGGUGAGUAACACGUGAGUAACCUGCCUCUUAGUGGGGGAUAGCCCUGGGAAACCGGGAUUAAUACCGCAUACGAUUGAAAGAUCAAAGCAGCAAUGCGCUAGGAGAUGGGCUCGCGGCCUAUUAGUUAGUUGGUGAGGUAACGGCUCACCAAGGCGAUGACGGGUAGCCGGUCUGAGAGGAUGUCCGGCCACACUGGAACUGAGACACGGUCCAGACACCUACGGGUGGCAGCAGUCGAGAAUCAUUCACAAUGGGGGCAACCCUGAUGGUGCGACGCCGCGUGGGGGAAUGAAGGUCUUCGGAUUGUAAACCCCUGUCAUGUGGGAGCAAAUUAAAAAGAUAGUACCACAAGAGGAAGAGACGGCUAACUCUGUGCCAGCAGCCGCGGUAAUACAGAGGUCUCAAGCGUUGUUCGGAAUCACUGGGCGUAAAGCGUGCGUAGGCUGUUUCGUAAGUCGUGUGUGAAAGGCAGGGGCUCAACCCCUGGAUUGCACAUGAUACUGCGAGACUAGAGUAAUGGAGGGGGAACCGGAAUUCUCGGUGUAGCAGUGAAAUGCGUAGAUAUCGAGAGGAACACUCGUGGCGAAGGCGGGUUCCUGGACAUUAACUGACGCUGAGGCACGAAGGCCAGGGGAGCGAAAGGGAUUAGAUACCCCUGUAGUCCUGGCAGUA
This 754-nucleotide ribosomal RNA is filed under the name uncultured bacterium. RNAcentral describes it as "bacterial SSU rRNA". It matches the Rfam family "Bacterial small subunit ribosomal RNA", at positions 29 to 804 of the family's 1533-position model. The record is from RNAcentral.